Molecule: long non-coding RNA, 555 nt
Organism: Ictalurus punctatus (channel catfish)
Lineage: Eukaryota; Metazoa; Chordata; Actinopteri; Siluriformes; Ictaluridae
Exons: 2
Source: RefSeq, a predicted model, not a curated record
GGUUUCCUCUUGGAAUCCGGAGGCGCUAAAAAGGCACUUAAGAAAGGCACUAAAAGUCAGUGACCCCAAACCAAAGUCACUGAUCCCUGGCUCUGGCUGCUUUCCAAACCGCAUACUAGUGCACUAAUUAGUGCCCAUGAAUAGCACGCCACCUAUAGUGAUUAUAGAGAUAGGAUACUAUUAUCACAAUAUUUACACCAAUAUGAGAUGUAGAAAUUGUGAAAACAUGACCUUUAUUGUUGAGUAAUAUAGCGUGUGUGUGUGUGUGUGUGUGUGUGUGUGUGUGUGUGUGUGUGUGAUCCAUAGCUUCUCUCCCCGAAGACAUAUUAACGGAAUGCGUAAUGGCUUGGAUGUGCGUAAAUCCUAAAGCAAGCGAUUUUCCCUGGAAUCUCAGGAUUCAUUUUGUUUCUGACGAGCAUCAGCACCGUGAGUAGGAGCAAGAGGAUGAAGAGCGGAUGGAAGAAUCUCAUGUUGAUGCGACUUCUUUGAUAGAUAACAGCGCGCUCCUCUUCUCUUCUUUCCUCAAGCACCAAUUUUAGAUCUUGAGAAUCAAGG